Non-coding RNA from Manis javanica (Malayan pangolin), 2952 nucleotides. The record is from RefSeq and is a predicted model, not a curated record. Lineage: Eukaryota; Metazoa; Chordata; Mammalia; Pholidota; Manidae.
CGGCGGGCGGCGCGGAGGCUGCGCGGGUGAGGGGCGUGCGCGGGGCCCGCUGCCGACAGGCGCCGCCGGGAGCCGGGCCCGGGAGGUGCCCGCGGGCCGGAGCCGCAGCAGGAAGCCGCAUGUGGAAACACCAACAACAAACAGAGAGAGAGAGAAAGCAGCUUUUAAAACACCACAAAACAAGUAACUACAAGGGAACGGACAGACAUGCAGAGCCUGCCCCGUAACACCGGCUCUCACUGUGGCCAUGAAUGGCUUCCAGGUUCAAAAGCAGGAACAGAUUGCUACUUGGAGCCGGAGCAAACCGUGUAUGAUCCGUGCACAAACCCUCACAGUGUCCUGCCCGCUCUUGGAGCCAUGGAAUGAGCCAGAGAAAACUGCCUUGGGCCCAGGGUGAUGAAUGUGUCAAGAUGCUUCAGUGUAUACUGCCCACAGAUAAGAAAUUCAGCUCAAAGAGCUGUUGAAAGGGGCUGAAACACAGUCACUGAAGUGGUCCUGGCAUGCAGCUCAGGAAGAUGGACACACACAGCCAUCUUCUGCAUUAUUUGAAGGUUCGACGGAAACUAGGGCUCUGUGUACUGUCCUCUCCCUACUUUACUCACGGGCUGGAAUUUUUCCCAGAAAAAGGCAGUCGACUCGGAGAAAGUCACCAGACCAGUGACUAGCCUGGAGCCGAGAAGAUCUGCCCAGGGCGCUGAGGCUCCACCGUCCACCCCAGGCCUCUCUGGUGCACCCUCAGACCUCUGGUGCUCCCCGCAGCCCCUGAGGUGCCUUGUAAGGAGGACAAGGAGGACAAGGAAAUAAAUGGAGAAGAGGCCCCAUGGGUGUGACUUGUUGGCUGGUAGUGGGUGUGAAGUGGAGGCCCCAGGGGCAGCUCAGGGAAGAGCCAUAGAUAGGUUCUUUGCAAAUAGGGACACCUUUAGGGGACUUGAAUCCGAACACACCUGUAUCUUCCUGGAAGUGUAUGAUAUGGGCCUGGACCCUGCAGUUGCUUCCAAGUCUGCAUGCCUGAGGCUCUCCAGCACCUUCCCGGUGCCCCGGCUGGGCCCGGCGCCCUGUGCCAGCAAGGCCAGCCAGGCUGGGGCUGGGGCUGGGGCUGAAGCCCAAGGUGAGCCGUCCAGAGACCUGGCUAUGGCACGGAGGUGGGGUUUCUGCUGGAUCAGAGCUCCAGUGUCUCCCCAGGGUAUAGACGGUGUCUGGCUCACUGUGGGCGUCCAAAUGUGUUCGCCAAAGUACUUGAGAGGCCCUUGCCACAGGGAGAGCUUCAGCAUCGGGCUCCGGGCGGCCCCUGGGUCGGCUCGUGCCCUGGGAGUUGGUGAGCAUGGUCCUGCCCUUGCCUCCCUCCCCUUCUCACACGAGCUGCACACAUUCUUACACACUCAUGCACCCACACACUCAAAUAACCAGAAUCUCUCCCCCCGACACACACACACGUGCUCGUAUGCAUGCUCUGUUCCCCAGGAUUUUGCAGUAUUUGGCUGAAUACUGGGGUGGUGUGUGGCCGAGCACCCGACCUCUCACGGGAGGUGCCAUUAUAUCCUGGGAAAAACACCAUUAGGUGCACACCCCAGGGCGAGUGAGCUGAUCCUCCUAGAAAGGAGUGAUUGAUGCCAGUGAGGGACAAGGGUAGGGCAUUUCUGACCCCUUUUCUGCCAAGCUGUCAGAGCCAGGUUCCUCUCAGAGCUUGCUGCAGGGGGUGGGAUCACCACUUUGUUCCCAGUGCCUCUGGGUUUAUGCUUUCUCUCAGUGGUGCCUUUGGCUGACCCGCAGUCGUGUGCUAUCCAGUAUGGUAGCUGCCAGCCACGUGCUGCCAGUCGGGGUGGAGGUGUGCUGUGCGUGACUACACGCACCGGGUUUUUACAGAUGUGUUCUGAAAGAAGGUGCGUAAAAUACCUCGCUAUCAUUUCUAAAAUACUGAUGUCAUGUUGAAAUGAUUCUAUUUAUUGGGUUCAUUGGGUAUAUUGGGUAAAAUGAUAUAUUGGGUAAAUAAAAUACAUUAUUGAUAUUAAUUUCACUUGCUUCUUACUUUUUAAAAAUGUAGCGAUUAGGAAAUUUAAAAUGACCCACACGGCUCGUAUUUGUGGCUCGCAUUACAUUUCUGUAGGGUGACCUCAGGUCUCUGCUCUGAUCCUUCAGGAGACAGAAGAAGGAAAAGCAGAUGAAGAUGCUGAGCACCUGGUUCGGGGGGAGGCUGGCAGGCCCGCCCUGUGUUACAGUUGCUUUUCUCACAUAAUGUAUUAUCAAAGCCUCUUUUCUUCUGUGAGAAUGCUGGUGGGGGCAGAGGGGCAUUACAUUGUAUGUAUUUUACUGCUUGAUUCAUUUUCUUUUCAUUUUAACUUUAAUUCUGUCUAAUUACUGUAUUGUGAUCUCAGCAAUCUUCAAUGAACCUCAAGUAACUUUUGAAGAAUCUUGCUACAAAUGUGGGAUAGUGCUGAGAUGCAGAUUGCAUAGGUCAUUGCAUGAUGUCUACACUCCGCUGAAGCAACCCCUUUCCUGUUAUUUUCAAAUCUGAGGUCAGCAUUUUGGUGCUUUCCUGCUUUAUUGUUCCCCAGGCAAGGUGCCACCACCAGGGCAAGCUGAGGCAAAACAAAUGAAUUCACACCCAGUGGAAAUGCUUUCUACUAAGCAAGACUGAAAUUCCAGAUUUCUUAUUUCUAUGACUGAUCAUAGCUUAAAAAGUCUGUGGAGUCACACCUCCAUCAAGGAGAUUAUAAUAAAACGUAUUUACAAGUUUUUUAUUUUAAAUAAGGUAUUUUAAAAUGUCUCCAUUAACACUUUAGAGACAAGAUUUCUAGAAAUAAAAUUUUAAAACUCAGAAAUUAUAUUUCAUCAUUUGAUGAUAGCAAGAGGAUUGCUCCAAGAAUGUUGUUUUUAAUAAACUCAGUGUAACGGCAACACAAAAAUUCUGCAUGCAUGUACACUUGGUAUACACACAUUGUGUUUUUAAUGUAC